AACACUGACAGGAGGCAGGAGUCCCAGCCGCCGUGCUGGAGGACGGAGUCACACGAACCGCACGCCGCCCGGAGGGAUGUCAGGGGCCGAGCGUCGGGAGACAAAGACCAGCCCGCGAAGCGCCCGGGCGGCGAGGGGCGGCCCCGGCGCGGCCCUGCGCCCCUAACCGCCCCGAGGAGUUGCGAGCACCGCCGAGCGCCGCCCAAGUGCGCGCCCGGGGUCCUCCGGGCUCCCCGCCCACCCAGCGCGGCCGGCGCCGCCCGGGCCCACCCCCGGGCCGUUUCCCUCCCAAUUUGGGAACCGCGCGCCCAGGGACAAAGGGGGAGGGCGCGCCGGGGGCGGCGGCGGGCCGCGGGGCAGACGCCCCUCGGGGAUCGGCGGGAAGUCUCGGCAGCGGCCCCGCCCGCCCCCCCCCACGCGGCCGCACACGUCCCGGGACCCCUGCCCCCCCCCGCAGCCCCUUCCCCCGGCCUCCGCACAAGUUCUCCCGCCCCCCCCGAGCCCCGCCCCUUGCCCGCUUCGGAGCCGGCCCUGCGGCCGCCCCUCACCGGGCGGCGUGUUCCCCGGGAGCCGCCUCCUCCGCCGGGCCUCGGCCCGUCCCACCGGCCGCCGCCUCAUGUGCCCCGCGUCGCCAUCGCCUUCGCCGCCACCUCUCCUCCAACUCUCGCCGCCGCCCUCGCCUCAGUCUCCAGCCGAGGCCGAAGCCGCUCCCGCCGCCGCCUCCCGCUCCCGCCGCCCGGACCCGCGGGGAGGCGCCUGCGCACUACGCGCCGCGGUGGGGGCGGGGGCGUCCCGCCGCGGCCUGGGAGCAGGGGGCGCGCGGCACGUGGCGCUCGGGUGGGAGGGGGCGCCCCGGAGCGCGCGGGCGGCGGCGCGGGCGUCCAACUUUCCGCGGGCGGGCCCUCGCGCGCUCCCGGGCAGCCCCGGAGGCGCGGAGCGUGUGGGUGCCACCCGCGUGGAGUCUGGACCCGGGUGGGCGCAGACCUCGCCCCCAGGACGAUUCAUUCCUCCAGCUUGCUCCUUGGGGCAGCAGCCCCCCGGCAGCCAGCGCCUCACUUUGCGCUUUGUGCCUCCGUCUCUGCCGGAGGACACGCCUUACCUGGGCAUCCUAGGUCGGUCCUACGAGCCUCGGAGUUGUCUUCUGUGCGCUCAGCCGAGGCCUGGGUCCAAUGUGACACAUCAGGAUGCUGA
Molecule: long non-coding RNA, 1191 nt
Filed under: Canis lupus familiaris (dog)
Lineage: Eukaryota; Metazoa; Chordata; Mammalia; Carnivora; Canidae
Description: lncRNA (ENSCAFG00030003503.1)
Source: RNAcentral